Molecule: long non-coding RNA, 284 nt
Filed under: Lathyrus oleraceus (garden pea)
Lineage: Eukaryota; Viridiplantae; Streptophyta; Magnoliopsida; Fabales; Fabaceae
Description: Pisum sativum (pea) long non-coding RNA (PSAT_LNC021158)
Source: RNAcentral
UGGGGAAGAGGAUUUGUUGGUCAGUGAACUCUCCUCCUUCAGAUAUGUUGAAACAAAUGAGGGGAUCGUCGAGGUUCCACUCUACUGUCUAGAGUUUGAAGAUGUCAGUUCCGCAUCCGUCAACAACAAUCAAUCAUCCGCUACCAUCCUAUCCUCAGUGAAGAGUGCCAAGCAGACAUUGGAGAAAGGCCCACUUCCCGUUUGGGGCAAGGUCAUCAAUGUGGCAGAAAAACGCGACAGGUUUGGUAUCGGUUAUCACCCAGCAACAUGAAGGUGAGAAAAAC